This 649-nucleotide ribosomal RNA is filed under the name uncultured bacterium. Its description in RNAcentral is "bacterial SSU rRNA". It matches the Rfam family "Bacterial small subunit ribosomal RNA", at positions 93 to 740 of the family's 1533-position model. The record is from RNAcentral.
GACCGGCAAACGGGUGCGUAACACGUACGCAACCUUCCUUCAGGCGGGGAAUAGCCCGGGGAAACCCGGAUUAAUACCCCAUAAAAUUUUGAGAUGGCAUCAUCUUAUUAUUAAAGCUUCGGCACCUGAUGAUGGGCGUGCGGCUGAUUAGGUAGUUGGCGGGGUAACGGCCCACCAAGCCAGCGAUCAGUAGCUGAUGUGAGAGCAUGAUCAGCCACACGGGCACUGAGACACGGGCCCGACUCCUACGGGAGGCAGCAGUAAGGAAUAUUGGUCAAUGGACGAAAGUCUGAACCAGCCAUGCCGCGUGGAGGAUGAAGGUCCUCUGGAUUGUAAACUUCUUUUAUUUGGGACGAAAAAGGGGAAUUCCUUCCCACUUGACGGUACCAGAUGAAUAAGCACCGGCUAACUCCGUGCCAGCAGCCGCGGUAAUACGGAGGGUGCAAGCGUUAUCCGGAUUCACUGGGUUUAAAGGGUGCGUAGGCGGAUAGGUAAGUCCGUGGUGAAAUCCUGCAGCUUAACUGCAGAACUGCCGUGGAUACUAUUUAUCUUGAAUGUCGUGGAGGUUAGCAGAAUAUGUCAUGUAGCGGUGAAAUGCUUAGAUAUGACAUAGAAUACCCAUUGCGAAGGCAGCUAACUACGCGAAAAU